RNAcentral lists this transfer RNA (73 nucleotides) under Macleaya cordata. It matches the Rfam family "tRNA". Rfam says of the family: Transfer RNA (tRNA) molecules are approximately 80 nucleotides in length. Their secondary structure includes four short double-helical elements and three loops (D, anti-codon, and T loops). Lineage: Eukaryota; Viridiplantae; Streptophyta; Magnoliopsida; Ranunculales; Papaveraceae. The record is from Rfam by way of RNAcentral.
GCCCGCUUAGCUCAGAGGUUAGAGUUUCGCAUUUCUAAUGAGAUGGUUAUCGGUUCGAUUCUGAUAACCGACC